This 587-nucleotide ribosomal RNA is filed under the name uncultured Dechloromonas sp. RNAcentral describes it as "bacterial SSU rRNA". It matches the Rfam family "Bacterial small subunit ribosomal RNA", at positions 338 to 916 of the family's 1533-position model. The record is from RNAcentral. Lineage: Bacteria; Pseudomonadati; Pseudomonadota; Betaproteobacteria; Rhodocyclales; Azonexaceae.
CCUACGGGAGGCAGCAGUGGGGAAUUUUGGACAAUGGGGGCAACCCUGAUCCAGCCAUGCCGCGUGAGUGAAGAAGGCCUUCGGGUUGUAAAGCUCUUUCGGCUGGGAAGAAAUCGCAUCUCCUAAUACGGGGUGUGGAUGACGGUACCAGCAUAAGAAGCACCGGCUAACUACGUGCCAGCAGCCGCGGUAAUACGUAGGGUGCGAGCGUUAAUCGGAAUUACUGGGCGUAAAGCGUGCGCAGGCGGUUUGGUAAGACAGGCGUGAAAUCCCCGGGCUUAACCUGGGAACUGCGCUUGUGACUGCCAGGCUAGAGUACGGCAGAGGGGGGUGGAAUUCCACGUGUAGCAGUGAAAUGCGUAGAGAUGUGGAGGAACACCAAUGGCGAAGGCAGCCCCCUGGGUCGAUACUGACGCUCAUGCACGAAAGCGUGGGUAGCAAACAGGAUUAGAUACCCUGGUAGUCCACGCCCUAAACGAUGUCAACUAGGUGUUGGGUGGGUAAAACCAUUUAGUACCGUAGCUAACGCGUGAAGUUGACCGCCUGGGGAGUACGGCCGCAAGGUUAAAACUCAAAGGAAUUGACGG